UCUUUCUCUUUGAUUCCCAGUUUUCAGAGUAAGAAGUUAGUGUAAUAGUCAUCAAUAAUACUGAGAUUUGAAAGAGCCAACUAAUAGAAAUUCAUUUGGUAGAAUGCCAGUCCAGAAAGAGACAUCCAGCACCAAUUAGUUUCUUUAGUUCAAUAUAUUGGAAGAGUAAAUUAAAGAAUCAAGGUAACAACUUUUUUAACCUCAGAAUUUGCUGUUGUCAUAUUUCUUAAUAGUACCUGGCCAUAAUUAUAAGUCCUAAAGCUCAUGCCAGGAAUAAUAAUACCAAAGUAGCCUUUGUAGAAGAAAUAUCGAAAUUCCUAUUAUUUCAAGAAGCUUGCACAUUUACUACCAUUAACAGAAAUCUUGUCUUGUUCUGUUGGCAGUCUCAGUUCUUAUAAACGAAUCCAAGAGGCAGCUGAUACCACAAUAAUAGAAAAAUUUUGGACGAGAGCCAUCUCCUUUCUUUGAGUCAAAAGGCAGAUGCCAGCUAGGAACAUUAGCUCAUUGCAUUUUCCUCUCCCCUCUCCCCCGCGUCCUUCCAUGUAUAAUUUGUGCCCUUUUUUUUUUUUUUUUUUUUUUUAAAUAGCCUGCCACCAAGUUCAGCGGGUGGCUGGGUACAAAGCUGUGUC
This is a long non-coding RNA of Aethalodelphis obliquidens (Pacific white-sided dolphin), 629 nucleotides long. RefSeq lists it as uncharacterized. The record is from RefSeq and is a predicted model, not a curated record. The transcript is spliced from 2 exons. Lineage: Eukaryota; Metazoa; Chordata; Mammalia; Artiodactyla; Delphinidae.